GUGCCAGCCGCCGCAGUAAUACAGAGGGUGCAAGCGUUGUUCGGAAUUAUUGGGCGUAAAGGGCGCGUAGGCGGUGCGGUAAGUCACCUGUGAAACCUCUAGGCUCAACCUAGAGCCUGCAGGCGAAACUGCCGUGCUUGAGGGUGGGAGAGGUGCGUGGAAUUCCCGGUGUAGCGGUGAAAUGCGUAGAUAUCAGGAGGAAUACCAGUGGCGAAGGCGGCUUUCUGGGCCUAUCCUGACGCUGAGGAGCGAAAGCGUGGGGAGCAAACCGGAUUAGAAACCCUUGUAGUCC
This 292-nucleotide ribosomal RNA is filed under the name uncultured bacterium. RNAcentral describes it as "partial 16S ribosomal RNA". It matches the Rfam family "Bacterial small subunit ribosomal RNA", at positions 505 to 796 of the family's 1533-position model. The record is from RNAcentral.